Hyla sarda is the source of this 980-nucleotide long non-coding RNA. RefSeq lists it as uncharacterized. The record is from RefSeq and is a predicted model, not a curated record. The transcript has 4 exons. NCBI's taxonomy places the organism in Eukaryota, Metazoa, Chordata, Amphibia, Anura, Hylidae.
UCAGUCACUAGGAGGCUGUUACUAGGGUUCAUUAUAAAUAAGAAUGGCCCCACAAGAGUCUGCAUUACGGUAUUUUUCUGCAUUCUGUAUCCAUCCGCCUGUGUGCAGUGUGCCUGGAAGAGGAUGUGUGCCAAGGCUCACUGAGCUCUGUAUACCUGCAUUUCGCUGACUGACUAUAUACUGCAUCCAGCCAAUAUGAAAAGGCAGAACAAAGGGACACAGCAGCACAAUUUUCACAUUAGAGGCUCAAAUCUUCAGGACUUUUCAUACAGGAAAGAAAGGUUUGUGACCACAAAACCUCUAUUGAACCAUAACAACACAUAAUGCUUCCUGCUCUUAAAUGUAGAAGUUUGAAACUUCCAUCGUAUAUUUCGUAUGUAUCUGAGAUGACUUGGAAGGAUCCAUCAGCAAUGGCAGAGAAAGUCUUUUCAGGUUACUUGGAUCCACUCAAUGGAGCUUCCAUUCCAUAUAUUCAGAGACUGUCAGCAAUUGCUUCCUUUGAAAAUGAGACAAUACGUCAUGAGAACCUGAGAAAACUUAAAGGGAAAAAAGAAGAACAAUAAGAAAGCUUUUAUCGCUUUGAUGACUGCAUAUUUGGAUUAUUCAUAGCUGAACACUGGGCCAUAAUUCAUACAUACCAUAUACACAGAGAUAUGUAACAGUAUUAAGGAUGAUGAUUCUAUAUACAAUAAUCAGUAAGAAAGUUCAUUUGGCCAAAUCUAGAAGAUCCCACACCCUUGUAAUAUAUUCCUGACCUUUUUUUGUUGUUUUUUUUUUUAAUUAGUUUCAGUUACUUUGUACUGUUUAGAAACAGAAAACACAUUUUUUAAAGGAAACCAUCAGCAUGCUGCUGUUUAUUGAUGGUGUUUCCUACUAUGUAUUUCAGCACUAUUAAAGGGGCACUCCGGUGAAAACCUUUUUUCUUUUAAAUCAACUGGUGGCAGAAAGUUAAACAUAUUUGUAAAUUACUUCUAUUAAAA